AUGGCAUCCGUGGCGACGGAACCGGCGGUCGGGCGGGAGGGCGACAAGAUGGUGAUCACGCCGCUCGGCGGCGGCAGCGAGGUCGGCCGCUCCUGCGUCCACAUGACCUUCAAGGGCUGCACCGUCCUCGUAAGCAUCCCCUCUCCCCCAAACCCUACACCCCGCCACCGUCGACGUCCUCCUCAUCACGCAUUUUCACCUGGACCACGCGGCCUCGCUGCCCUACUUCCUGGAGAAGUGUUCAUGACCCACGCCACCAAGGCCAUCUACAGGCUGCUGCUCUCCGAUUACGUCAAGGUCAGCAAGGUGUCCGCGGAGGACAUGCUCUUCGACGAGCAGGACAUUCUCAGGUCCAUGGAAAAAAUUGAGGUCAUAGAGUUCCACCAGACGUUGGAAGUUAAUGGCAUACGCUUCUGGUGCUAUACUGCAGGCCAUGUACUUGGAGCUGCCAUGUUCAUGGUGGAUAUUGCUGGCGUUCGCAUUCUUUACACUGGUGACUACUCCCGUGAAGAAGACAGGCACCUGAAAGCUGCUGAGAUCCCCCAGUUCUCCCCUGAUAUUUGCAUUAUCGAGUCAACUUACGGUGUGCAGCGACACCAACCCCGCCAUGUCAGAGAGAAGCGCUUCACUGAUGCCAUCCACAACACUGUUUCUCAAGGGGGCCGUGUUCUUAUCCCGGCAUUUGCUCUUGAGCUCCAUAAGAUUCCAAUCUAUUACGCCUCCCCUCUUGUGAAGAAGUGUAUGGCUGUCUACCAGACAUACAUAAACUCCAUGAAUGACAGGAUCCGCAACCAGUUUGCACGGUCCAAUCCCUUCCAUUUCAAGCAUAUUGACCCUUUGAAUAGCAUAGACAACUUCCAUGAUGUUGGUCCGUCAGUGGUGAUGGCAAGUCCAGGUUAUGCUGUUGCUGGCUCACUUGCAAAGACCAUCAUCACUGAGCCGAGAGAAGUGGAGCUAGCAAAUGGGCUCAAUGCUCCUCUCAAUAUGCAGAUCUUCUACAUCUCCUUUUCAGCCCAUGCCGAUUUCCCACAGACGAGCGGCUUCCUGGGCGAGCUUCGCCCACCCAACAUUAUCCUUGUACACGGGGAAGCAAAUGAGAUGGGGAGGCUCAGACAGAAACUUAUCACUCAGUUCGAGGGAACAGACACACAGAUCGUGUCUCCCAAGAACUGCCAACCAGUGCAGCUGUUUUUCAGCUCUCAAAAGAUGGCCAAGGCAAUUGGCAUAUUGGCAGAAACUGUGCCAGAAGUGGGAGAUUCGGUCAGUGGUUUGCUUGUGAAGAAGGGCUUCACGUACCAGAUUAUGGCUCCGGAGGAUCUCCGGGUGUACACCCAGCUAUCUACUGCCAACAUUACUCAGCGGCUCACCGUCCCAUAUUCCGGUUCUUUUGAAGUCAUCAAGUACAGACUGAGGCAAAUAUACGAGAGCGUGGAAUCAUCAACCGACGAAUCCGAUGUUCCAACACUGAUUGUUCAUGAGAGGGUGACCAUCCGCCUGGAUUCAGAGAGCUACGUGACGCUACAGUGGUCCUCUGAUCCCAUAAGCGACAUGGUGUCUGAUUCCGUGGUGGCCAUGAUCUUGAACAUAGGGCGUGAGGGACCAAAGGCCGUUCCGAUGGAAGAGGAAACGGAGAUGGUGGCGCAGAAGGUGGUAUAUGCUCUAAUGGUGUCGGUCUUCGGCGACGUUCAAGUGGUGCAGGAAGGGAUGCUUGUUAUAACUGUGGAUGGAGAUAUUGCUUACUUGGAUGGGAGGAGUGGUGAUGUUGAGUGCGCGAAUGCUGCGCUGAAAGAGAGGAUCCAGACUGCGUUCCGUCGCAUUCAGGGUGCUCCCCGUGUUCAUUUGGUCUUCCUCAUAUUCAUGUUUGGUCUUCCUCAUAUUCAUGGCGCUGCCUGGGGCAACGAUCACUUCUGCUUAACGACCAAAGAAAUUACCACUGUGGAGAGGUCCUUUAAGAGUACCUGCCGCACCUCCGCCUCCAAUGUUAGAGGCUGGCGUGGAUGUUCAUCCUUGUUCCGAUGUUUUCUCCAAAUCAAUCAGGUGCCGGACUGGGAGCGACCGGAGGCGUUUUUGCAGCUGCCACCGUGCGCCUGCUCCUCGCCUUUCUACCAGCAUCACCAACUCGCCAACAUAUAUGAAGUAGCUUAA
RNAcentral lists this ribosomal RNA (2145 nucleotides) under Triticum aestivum (bread wheat). RNAcentral's name for it is "partial small subunit ribosomal RNA". Lineage: Eukaryota; Viridiplantae; Streptophyta; Magnoliopsida; Poales; Poaceae. The record is from RNAcentral.